GGUUAAGCGACUAAGCGUACACGGUGGAUGCCUAGGCAGUCAGAGGCGAUGAAGGGCGUGCUAAUCUGCGAAAAGCGUCGGUAAGGUGAUAUGAACCGUUAUAACCGACGAUACCCGAAUGGGGAAACCCAGUGCAAUUCGUUGCACUAUUGCAUGGUGAAUACAUAGCCAUGCAAGGCGAACCGGGGGAACUGAAACAUCUAAGUACCCCGAGGAAAAGAAAUCAACCGAGAUUCCCCCAGUAGCGGCGAGCGAACGGGGAGGAGCCCAGAACCUGAAUCAGCGUAUGUGUUAGUGGAAGCGUCUGGAAAGUCGCACGGUACAGGGUGAUAGUCCCGUACACAAAAAUGCAUAUGUUGUGAGUUCGAUGAGUAGGGCGGGACACGUGACAUCCUGUCUGAAUAUGGGGGGACCAUCCUCCAAGGCUAAAUACUCCUGACUGACCGAUAGUGAACCAGUACCGUGAGGGAAAGGCGAAAAGAACCCCGGCGAGGGGAGUGAAACAGAACCUGAAACCGUGUACGUACAAGCAGUGGGAGCACCUUCGUGGUGUGACUGCGUACCUUUUGUAUAAUGGGUCAGCGACUUAUAUUUUGUAGCAAGGUUAACCGAAUAGGGGAGCCGUAGGGAAACCGAGUCUUAACUGGGCGAAUAGUUGCAAGGUAUAGACCCGAAACCCGGUGAUCUAGCCAUGGGCAGGUUGAAGGUUGGGUAACACUAACUGGAGGACCGAACC
This 736-nucleotide ribosomal RNA is filed under the name Yersinia enterocolitica. RNAcentral's name for it is "partial 23S ribosomal RNA". It matches the Rfam family "Bacterial large subunit ribosomal RNA", at positions 1 to 780 of the family's 2925-position model. Lineage: Bacteria; Pseudomonadati; Pseudomonadota; Gammaproteobacteria; Enterobacterales; Yersiniaceae. The record is from RNAcentral.